GCCUCUACACUGUAGUACUGUGAUGCCUCUACACUGUAGUACUGUGAUGCCUCUACACUGUAGUACUGUGAUGCCUCUACACUGUAAUACUGUGAUGCCUCUACACUGUAAUACUGUGAUGCCUCUACACUGUAAUACUGUGAUGCCUCUACACUGUAAUACUGUGAUGCCUCUAUACUGUAGUACUGUGAUGCCUCUAUACUGUAAUACUGUAGUACUGUAAUACUGUGUAGAGGCAUCAGUAUCUGAACAGAUUUGUAUUUAUUUAUUUUACCUUUAUUUCACUUGGCAAGUCAAUUAAGAAAAAUUACAAUGACGGCCUAGGAACAGUGGGUUAACUUCGUUGUUCAGCGGCAGGGAUUCAAUCUAGCAACCUUUCAGUUACUGGCCCAACGCUCUAACCACUAGGCUACCAGAGAUCACAGUAGAUUACAGCCCCAUAACAACAGAGAUCACAGUAGAUUACUGUCCCAUAACAACAGAGAUCACAGUAGGUUACAGCCUCACAACAACAGAGAUCACAGUAGAUUACUGUCCCAUAAAAACAGAGAUCACAGUAGAUUACAGUCCCAUAACAACAGAGAUCACAGUAGAUUACAGCCUCACAACAACAGAGAUCACAGUAGGUUACAGCCUCAUAACAACAGAGAUCACAGUAGAUUACAGCCUCAUAACAACAGAGAUCACAGUAGAUUACAGCCUCACAACAACAGAGAUCACAGUAGGUUACAGCCUCACAACAACAGAGAUCACAGUAGAUUACUGUCCCAUAAAAACAGAGAUCACAGUAGAUUACAGUCCCAUAACAACAGAGAUCACAGUAGAUUACAGCCUCACAACAACAGAGAUCACAGUAGGUUACAGC
RNAcentral lists this long non-coding RNA (865 nucleotides) under Salmo salar (Atlantic salmon). Its description in RNAcentral is "lncRNA (ENSSSAG00000092951.1)". The record is from RNAcentral. Lineage: Eukaryota; Metazoa; Chordata; Actinopteri; Salmoniformes; Salmonidae.